Molecule: transfer RNA, 61 nt
Filed under: Phagocata gracilis
Lineage: Eukaryota; Metazoa; Platyhelminthes; Tricladida; Planariidae
Description: tRNA-Arg
Source: RNAcentral
UUAAAAGGACCUGAAAGGACUUAUUUUCGACAUAAGCUUAUAUCAAUUUGAUACUUUUAAA